UCAACAAACGUCGAUGCAGUCACAGUUCCUGGGCUGAGGCUGGGGGAUGGGAGGAAGUCCUGAGGGCAGCCCCCGCCCCCUUCCCCGCCCCGUCACUCCCUCUGCCCCGCCUGCACAGCUUCUUGCCAAUUCAUUCCCGCCCCUACCGCCCCUAUAAGCCACCAGGUCGCUCCAGUUUGGUGCCAGCGCCUGGAGGGAGAGGCGUGGCGAGGGCUGUGCUGCCUAGGAUCCACUGAGUGGCUUUUGCUGGCGUCUCAGCUGCGCGCGAACCAGGGCUGGAAGGCUCGGCUGGAGGUGUGACCAGGGCAGGGACUGACCUGGCCCGGAACAGAAGAGCGCAGAGUCCCAUCCUGCCACGCCACGAGGAGAGAAGAAGGAAAGAUACAGUGUUAGGAAAGAGACCUCCCUCGCCCCUACGCCCCGCGCCCCUGCGCCUCGCUUCAGCCUCAGGACAGUCCUGCCGGGACGUGUGCGGCAGCGCUGCCUCAUCCAGCAGAAGCGGCGCCGCCACCGCGCCACCAGGAAGAUUGGCAUUGCUAUUGCGACCUUCCUCAUCUGCUUUGCCCCGUAUGUCAUGACCAGGCUGGCGGAGCUCGUGCCCUUCAUCACCGUGAACGCCCAGUGGGGCAUCCUCAGCAAGUGCCUGACCUACAGCAAGGCGGCGGCCGACCCGUUCACGUACUCUCUGCUCCGCCGGCCGUUCCGCCAAGUCCUGGCCGGCAUGGUGCACCGGCUGCUGAAGAGAACCCCGCGCCCAGCAUCCACCCAUGACAGCUCUCUGGAUGUGGCCGGCGUGGUGCACCAGCUGCUGAAGAGAACCCCGCGCCCAGCGUCCACCCACAACGGCUCUGUGGACACAGAGAAUGAUUCUUGCUUGCAGCAGACACACUGAGGGCCUGGCAGGGCUCAUCGCCCCCACCUUCUAAGAAGCCCUGUGGAAAGGGCACUGGCCCUGCCACAGAGAUGCCACUGGGGACCCCCAGACACCAGUGGCUUGACUUUGAGCUGAGGCUGAAGUACAGGAGGAGGAGGAGGAGAGGGCCGGAUGU
RNAcentral lists this small RNA (1049 nucleotides) under Pan troglodytes (chimpanzee). RNAcentral's name for it is "processed transcript". The record is from RNAcentral. Lineage: Eukaryota; Metazoa; Chordata; Mammalia; Primates; Hominidae.